This 2874-nucleotide long non-coding RNA is filed under the name Homo sapiens (human). RNAcentral's name for it is "non-protein coding lnc-ECHDC3-8:1". Lineage: Eukaryota; Metazoa; Chordata; Mammalia; Primates; Hominidae. The record is from RNAcentral.
CUGUGGUCGUCGUUACUAAUCACGGGGGACCCCAUCUGUGCAGCACUUCAUGUGUAAAAGCAUUUCCCUGCCCUUAUUCAGUGUCCGUCAUGGAAAAUGACUUUUACCCUUCAAGUGUUUUUUUGUUUUGUUUUGUUUUGGUUUUGGUUUUUUAAUUCCUUAAAGCACCUAGCAGAAUACUGUGAACACAGUGCGUUUCAUUUAAACUGACUUUCCUGUAGGUUGAAAAAAUAAGUGAGAUACUUAGUGCCCGUGAAUACUCAGGAAAAACUCACCAAGACGGUCAUCAAAAGUUGAUAAAAAAGUUAAGUGAACUCAAAAUAACUGUGUUCUUGUAGAAUGUUUACAAAGCUGUUAGGGACCCUCAGAAUGGGAAUUUGGGGGAUGAAUUGUAUGACUAACUUGUCACUGGAAAACCAAAAAAACUCAGAAGAAAGCCGGGUGUGUUCAGUAUUCCCCAUAUUGCCUUUAAAGCAAACACAGCCCAACUGUUGAAACCACGGAGCAACUUUGGCUAGUAAGAGAUUCCCAAAGCCCAGCACUUCUGUGCACACGCACAGGUGCGCUCACACGCCACACACACAGAUGGAAGUUAACAUUUUGAUAACGUGGAUGAUGGAGGUUUCCAUUUUUUUUCUUGGCUAAUACUUGAUAUUUUUAAAAGUGCGAGUUAUCUUUCUUCUUGUUGCCUGGCUGAGUUGACCUUGAGUGAUGGCUAGGAAGUCAGCAUUUCUUCAUGAGUAGUUUCCAUUUUCUUCAUGUUCGUCUUAGGAAAAAAAUCAUUUUUAAGCUUACCCAGGAGCUGCAUGGUUAAUUUACUAUGGCAUCUCCCUGAAGCUCAAAACCUGCAAAUUGUUUUAGCUAAAUACCAUAAUUAUAGGUUUAGCAGUGAAACCAAGGACUUGGUGGGAAUUUUUCAUUUGCUUUUGUUUAAAAGAACUAAAACCAGAUUGUUCAGGGUAAGAAGAAACACAACAGGAAUUUUAUUUUUACUCUCAUAAAAAUGCCAGCCAUAGUUUGCUGGGGGUAGGAGUCUCGGAGACGAGAGGGAAGGAGGAGUCCUGCUGAUUUUUCUCCCUUUUCUACCCCCUUUCCAUCCCAUCUCUCCCCUUCCUGUCCCAUCUCUCCCCUUCCUAUUCCUUUUCUCCCCUUCCCGUUCACGGGAAUGCCACUUUCUCACAGGGCCUCCCCCACCAGAAUCCUCCCAUGUUAGUGAGCACAGGCGGUGUAGACGGCCUGCAGCAGGUGGUGUGGACGGCCUGCAGGUACACUCGUUGCCCAGGGUAUCUGGUGUCUCUCUGGCUUAGCUGUCGCGCCUGUGCUGCCCAUGACUGACCAGGCUUCACCAGUUCACAGCGGAUCCAUGCUACUUUGCCUUCUCUGAAGGGAGGAAAAAGAACUUGAAUUAGAAGUUUUCCGUCAGCGUACAGGAGGUCAGGUCCUCAGCAGUCUCCCUCCCAGGAAUUGGAGCCCGGGGUGCCUGUUGCCCAUGUCUCCUCCGAGUCUGAACACAAGCAGUGGCUCAGGCCAGCUGAUGCUUUCCUCACUGAGCUCCUUCUCUGCACAUGAAGCGGAAGAUGGGGCGUGCCAUCCUGAGGUCGGGCUGCUUUCCGCCAUCCACCCAAGCCAGGUCCCUACUGCCCCGCACUGUGCACCUUGCCUGGUUAGGACCUCUUUGCUCUCCCACCUCCAGUCUCUCCAGACCCUUCGUCCAGCUUCAAUUCCACAUCCCCCAGCGAGCCUUUCUCAAACACCUGGGUGCACGAUUCGUAGUUUACAAGUAUUGUGGAAUCGUGCCUUUCAACUUGUAUUCCUUGGAGCCCUAGAGUUUCUGCGGUGUCCCAGGAGCUGUCACAGUGGGGAGAGAGCUGGGUGGAAGGGAUUCUGACCCCCCACUCACCGUCCCUGCCUCAAGAGCCCCAGUCACCCCGAGUAUGUCACAGGCCACCUUCUCUCCAUUUCUAGGAGAGAAAAGAGUCUAAACUUUCAUUCCAUGGAUGACAAAACAGAGGUCCUCAGAGGUCAGCCUAUUCUCCAAAGACACAUAUCAAACUCAUGGCAGCACCGGACCUAGAACCUUGGUCUUCUAAUCACCGCCAUUGCUCUCCCCUUCAAGCCUUCUCUCCUCCUCUGAACUUGGAGGAGACACAGCAGGGGAAGGAAUCCUUGGCUGGGAGGAGGACUCCAGGCUGUGGGCCAGGCUGGAUGACCCUAGGCAGGUCCCUCCCCCGCUGGACCUUGGGAAAUCUUUUGGAGACAGACAGAAGCUCCCUUAGGUCUCUUCCUUCCACUCUGGGAUGCUAUGAAGAGGAGCCUUUAGCUGUCUCCUCUAGGCCCUUCAGGGCCGUGCUGGCUCAUGGAGCAAUCAUGUGUGGCUCUUUAAUUAAAAUUACAUUUUAGAAAAGCACUUCCUCAAUCACACCAGUCCCUUUAAGUGCUCAGCAGCCACAUGUGGCUUUAGUUUCUGUGUCAACAGCACUGUGGUAGAGGAACCCACCUGUUACCAGUACACCUGCCCCAGCCCCUUCUCAGCACAGAGGUGUGCUUUAGCGUCCAGAAGGAACUGGCCCCAGUAAGUCUGGGAUAAUUGCCUAUUCGCUAAAUGAAAAUGAGACACUUCCUGUCCGGGGUAGGCAUAAAAGAAACAGAAAUAAAAGCCAAUUAAAUAGGAAUGACAAGAUGAUAGUGCAGAUUCAAAAGAAAUAGGUAUGCACAAGUGACUUAAAGCAGAGUCCUCCUCUAGCCCAGGACACUCUUCAGUCUGGCUGCAGCUGGCUAGCUUCUUUUUUUUUUUUUUUUAAUUCUAAGAAAUAGAUUGAAAUGAAACGAUGGAAAAGAAGCAGGACUUCUCCCCGUGGGUGUCUGUGAUGUCCU